Hippocampus zosterae (dwarf seahorse) is the source of this 1178-nucleotide long non-coding RNA. RefSeq lists it as uncharacterized. The transcript has 2 exons. NCBI's taxonomy places the organism in Eukaryota, Metazoa, Chordata, Actinopteri, Syngnathiformes, Syngnathidae. The record is from RefSeq and is a predicted model, not a curated record.
CCCCUACAAACUCCCUCCCUCGCUCUCUCUCUCUCUCCCUGUGACCGGCUAACAAAAGCCUCGUUGCCCUUUCGCCGGGUUUUCUCGCCGACGAUCCUUCUCCGGAAUAAAUACACUUUUCCACAGUCUCCUUCCUGGACUGGCGGUGCGUGAACGUCGGAGUGGCUUGUCUCCUCCUCCUCCUCCCCCAGCGGGCAGGGCUCAAAAGGAGUGCAUGGGAGCUCUCUCACCCCCGCUCUCCCUCUUUACUCCCUCCCUCACCCACGUUUGUCUCUUCACGGGGUGAUGAGGGAGCCGAGGCAGAGGAGGUGCGUGGCAGUCCAAGAAGCGCUGGCUGCCCCUUCGCUCUCUCAGUUUCCCUACCGCCGGGUCAUUGAUUCCUCGUUCCCUCUUUUCCUCAUCAUCCUGGGAUAAGGUAGGUAGUAAACUCUUUCUAAAAAAAAGCUUUUUUGUAUUUUUUUCUGUCUGCCUCCAAGUCGGCUACGGCCCGCACACGACAAGCUCCGGCAGGAAAAUGAAAGCACAAAGCAGCAAAAUGCAUCAGCAUGAAUAUUAGAGAUGUCGUUAAAACCCUGGCUCGUUUUUUCUCUCUCUCUCUCUCUUGCUCACUCCCCCCUCUCUCUCUUUGUAAAGGAAGUAGGCCAGCAGAUGGUGCUAGCAGUUAUUACAUUAACUUUCCCAAUUUAACCUUUACAUUGCUGAAUCACUCCCGUCACCACAUUUUUGGCCUUUUUUGUAGGUUACAGCCAAUGGUGUGAUGAUUUAUUUCAGGAAACAUUAGAAAAACAUUCUGAGACUUCCGGCAGGUCGGAGUGGCUGGCCUUUACACAACUCCCUCCCAUCGCAGGCAGACAUGUGCAACAGCUGGCACAUGGCACAAGGAAUGACACAUGGCUGGCCCAAAGCCAGGUACAGUAGAGAGACACGGUCCAGGCUAUAGCGACAGACAGUGAUGAUUUAAAUCUCUGUUAUGGACGGCUCGAACGCAGCGCACACUCCAAUUCCAGAAAGACAGAUUCCACCGUAAAUGCAAGUCACGUGAAAAGUACAAGGGACUGGUAAACAUGAACAAAACAGUCAUUGAAACAUUAGCCAGAGCAGUAGCUGACUUUGAAUAAUAAAUGUUGGUGUUUGAUGAAUGCUGAAAAGUCAAUAAAAGUAUCUGAGACUAACUGGAA